UAACACGUGAGUAACCUGCCCUUAACUCUGGGAUAAGCCUGGGAAACUGGGUCUAAUACCGGAUAGGAGCGCCCACCGCAUGGUGGGUGUUGGAAAGAUUUAUCGGUUUUGGAUGGACUCGCGGCCUAUCAGCUUGUUGGUGAGGUAAUGGCUCACCAAGGCGACGACGGGUAGCCGGCCUGAGAGGGUGACCGGCCACACUGGGACUGAGACACGGCCCAGACUCCUACGGGAGGCAGCAGUGGGGAAUAUUGCACAAUGGGCGAAAGCCUGAUGCAGCGACGCCGCGUGAGGGAUGACGGCCUUCGGGUUGUAAACCUCUUUCAGUAGGGAAGAAGCGAAAGUGACGGUACCUGCAGAAGAAGCACCGGCUAACUACGUGCCAGCAGCCGCGGUAAUACGUAGGGUGCGAGCGUUAUCCGGAAUUAUUGGGCGUAAAGAGCUCGUAGGCGGUUUGUCGCGUCUGUCGUGAAAGUCCGGGGCUUAACCCCGGAUCUGCGGUGGGUACGGGCAGACUAGAGUGCAGUAGGGGAGACUGGAAUUCCUGGUGUAGCGGUGGAAUGCGCAGAUAUCAGGAGGAACACCGAUGGCGAA
This is a ribosomal RNA of 594 nucleotides. It matches the Rfam family "Bacterial small subunit ribosomal RNA", at positions 111 to 719 of the family's 1533-position model.